GGAUCAUUAAAAAAAGAGUUGCAAGACUCGAAAACCAUCGUGAACAUACCUCUCGUCGUUGCUUCGGCGGGCUGCUCGUCAGGGCGCCCGCCGGAGGACCACCAAACUCUGUUUUCUUAGCGUAUCUCUGAGUGGACUACAAAAAUGAAUCAAAACUUUCAACAACGGAUCUCUUGGUUCUGGCAUCGAUGAAGAACGCAGCGAAAUGCGAUAAGUAAUGUGAAUUGCAGAAUUCAGUGAAUCAUCGAAUCUUUGAACGCACAUUGCGCCCGCCAGUAUUCUGGCGGGCAUGCCUGUCCGAGCGUCAUUUCAACCCCUCAAGCCCUGCUUGGUGUUGGGGCCCCUACGUGCGCCGUAGGCCCCGAAUUCCAGUGGCGGGCUCGCCGCGAACCCGAGCGUAGUAGCUUUUGCCUCGCUCAGGGCCCGCGGCGGGCGCCUGCCGUGAAAGAACCCACUAAGACACAAAGGUUGACCUCGGAUCAGGUAGGAAUACCCGCUGAACUUAAGCAUAUCAAUAAGCGGAGGAAAAGAAACCAACAGGGAUUGCCCCAGUAACGGCGAGUGAAGCGGCAACAGCUCAAAUUUGAAAUCUGGCCUCGGCCCGAGUUGUAAUUUGCAGAGGAUGCUUUUGGCGCGGCGCCUCCCGAGUCCCCUGGAACGGGGCGCCACAGAGGGUGAGAGCCCCGUAUGGUAGGACGCCUAGCCUGUGUAAAGCUCCUUCGACGAGUCGAGUAGUUUGGGAAUGCUGCUCAAAAUGGGAGGUAAAUUCCUUCUAAAGCUAAAUACCGGCCAGAGACCGAUAGCGCACAAGUAGAGUGAUCGAAAGAUGAAAAGCACUUUGAAAAGAGGGUUAAACAGCACGUGAAAUUGUUGAAAGGGAAGCGCUCGUGACCAGACUUGCGCCGGGCCGAUCAUCCGGUGUUCUCACCGGUGCACUCGGCCCGGCUCAGGCCAGCAUCGGUUUUCGCGGGGGGAUAAAAGCGCCGGGAACGUGGCUCCUCCGGGAGUGUUAUAGCCCGGCGCACAAUACCCUCGCGGGGACCGAGGCCCGCGU
Molecule: ribosomal RNA, 1054 nt
Filed under: Sordariomycetes sp. genotype 75
Lineage: Eukaryota; Fungi; Ascomycota; Sordariomycetes
Description: eukaryotic LSU rRNA
Rfam family: Eukaryotic large subunit ribosomal RNA (bases 470-1054)
Source: RNAcentral